CAGAAUUGGGGAAGGGAGGAGGAGCUCUCAACCCUCACAACCUUUGAUCCACCAUAACUCCUACGUCCGGGCUUCGAUCGCUGCACCGUUCGCGGCCACGCACUUAGCGUGUCGAGCUCUACCUUUCUAUCCAAAUAAUUUUACUAGUUCAAGUUAGCUUUUGAAACUUGUGGCCUCAAGCUAUUGAGCAUAUAGAUGUAGGUCGAGAGGCUCCUCGCUAGGCGUCUGGAUCUUGAAGCGAAGUAGUUCCU
Molecule: long non-coding RNA, 251 nt
Organism: Arachis stenosperma
Lineage: Eukaryota; Viridiplantae; Streptophyta; Magnoliopsida; Fabales; Fabaceae
Exons: 3
Source: RefSeq, a predicted model, not a curated record